GACGAACGCUGGCGGCGUGCUUAACACAUGCAAGUCGAACGAUGAAGCCGGAGCUUGCUCUGGUGAAUUAGUGGCGAACGGGUGAGUAACACGUGAGUAACCUGCCCUUGACUCUGGGAUAACUGCGGGAAACUGUAGCUAAUACCGGAUACGACCCUCGGAGGCAUCUCCUGGGGGUGGAAAGAAUUUCGGUCAAGGAUGGACUCGCGGCCUAUCAGCUAGUUGGUGAGGUAAAGGCUCACCAAGGCGACGGCGGGUAGCCGGCCUGAGAGGGUGACCGGCCACACUGGGACUGAGACACAGCCCAGACUCCUACGGGAGGCAGCAGUGGGGAAUAUUGCACAAUGGGCGCAAGCCUGAUGCAGCAACGCCGCGUGAGGGAUGACGGCCUUCGGGUUGUAAACCUCUUUUAGCAGGGAAGAAGCGAAAGUGACGGUACCUGCAGAAAAAGCACCGGCUAACUACGUGCCAGCCGCCGCAGUAA
RNAcentral lists this ribosomal RNA (484 nucleotides) under uncultured bacterium. RNAcentral's name for it is "partial 16S ribosomal RNA". It matches the Rfam family "Bacterial small subunit ribosomal RNA", at positions 28 to 523 of the family's 1533-position model. The record is from RNAcentral.